AAGUCGUAACAAGGUUUCCGUAGGUGAACCUGCGGAAGGAUCAUUAUAGUAUAUGGAAUACCCAUUCUAUAAACCCACUCUGCGUAUCUUGUACUGUUGCUUCCAUGGGACUUGGUCCUGCCACACCGGCUUCACGGCUGGUGAGCGCCCAUGGGAGGAAAAACAAAACUCUUUUUUGAACUGUAGUCAGUCUGAACUUGUUUUUAUAAACGUUAAAACUUUCAACAACGGAUCUCUUGGUUCUC
RNAcentral lists this unclassified non-coding RNA (245 nucleotides) under fungal sp. Its description in RNAcentral is "partial internal transcribed spacer region". The stretch from base 1 to 46 matches the Rfam family "Eukaryotic small subunit ribosomal RNA", at positions 1786 to 1831 of the family's 1831-position model. Lineage: Eukaryota; Fungi. The record is from RNAcentral.